Molecule: non-coding RNA, 8628 nt
Organism: Sus scrofa (pig)
Lineage: Eukaryota; Metazoa; Chordata; Mammalia; Artiodactyla; Suidae
Source: RefSeq, a predicted model, not a curated record
CCCAGGUUAGGGGUCUAAUCAGAGCUACAGCUGCAGGCCUACGCCACAGUAAGGCCAGAUCCGAGCCGUGUUUUUGACCUACACCCCUCGCGGCAACACCGGAUCCUAUUUUUUAAUUGGAUAAAUGGGUGGUAAAUGGGUGGGUGAUGACACAGUCAUUAUUAGGCACUGCUGAGGCUUCUUCAUGUAUCUCGAAUAUUUUAUUUACCACCUAGCCACUCCAUUUGCCUGAUGUGGGAUGGAUACUCAGAGAGGUUAAGUAACAUGACCAAGGUCACACAGUCAGUGUGAGGUGGAGAAUGGGAUUUGUUUGAUGGCAGGCUCCUGUAUUUGUGUUCAGGAGCUGGGCAUCUGUAGUCAAAGACAUUUUAGCUGUUGCAUAAGGAUCGGCUGAGUGGAGAAAGGAGUUAGGCUUGGAGACUGUCCGUUCGUGGGUCAAUUGAGACCUGGGAAUAGAGGCAGGUUGAUGCUGGCACAGGAGCAGCAGCAGCAACUUUACUAGCUGAGGUCACCCCUGAGCGAGAAGGAGGCUGGCCUGCCUCCUCCCGCUGACCCAGCCUCAAACUUGUCUUUUGUGAGUCAAUUAGGAGAAAUCUGAACAGGAUGGAAAAUAAACGCCGCAGGAAAUUUGCAGGGGAAGGGUUUGCAGACUUGUCUUUAGACCUGGAUUUGAUAAGUGGCUGGCGGCUAGAAGCCGUAGCUGGCAAGGCCUCUGGGGAGGGAGGGCAUCAGGGCAAACUUCAUAACAAGCACAGUCUCCUUGAUAUGCACCUAUUUUAAGUCUUUUACUCUUUUUCUUCUCAUUUGUUGCAAAAGUGCUUAAGAAGGAAAAGUUAGUAUAGGAACCGGAGGUAAAUAAUGCCGGCUUCAGCUGUAUGCAAGCUGUUCCUCACACACUGUGCUUUUCAUUGUUUAAAAUAGCAAAGGUUUGGGUUUUUUUGGGUCAGAGGAAAAGAACAUGAUGUCUCUUUCCCACCCUUUUCUUCUCUAAUUUUUUUUUUCUUCCUCUGUCUUUGUCCUUUUUCUCUUCCAAAAGGAAGGUGGGGAACAGAAUUGAAAGUUAAGCAGAAAUCCAAAUUCUUCCUCUGUCCUUUUGUCUUACUUUCCUUCUCUUGUUUUCACCUCUCUCUCUCUCUGCGAUAUAUUUGAAGCCCAGCCGGAAAAUUUUGGAAAUUUCGGCCGCAGGAAGAGGGAGACUCGGGAGCUCUUUCCCUUUUCCUAGGAAGGCUUGGAGCGGAGUGAGGGAGUUUGCACAUCCAAGGUCUGCACACACGCAUCCCUCUGUCUCUCACCUGAUUAAAUUCACACCGCAGACGUCUUUCCCCCCCUUGACCUCCUCUCACCGAAUUUUUCUAUUAAAUCAAAGACUAAACAUUGAUGGGGAAGGGGGGGGAAUGCUCUUGGAAGAUAUAAUUAAAAUGUGUUUAUUAUACUGAUUAAAGAGAAGGGUUAUUUGUCUCAUGAAUGACCUUUUCCGGUGAUUUUUUUUUUUUUUUUUUUUUUUUUUUUGGAAAGCAUUCUUGGUUGGUUUAUUCAGAGUGAUUUAAAACUCACAUAAUGGCUCACUUCUGUAAUGCCACCAGGGUUUUUGCAAACCAUGAACUGAGAAGAAACAAGAUCCUCCUCUUUGGGUGCCUGGAGAUGGACCGACUCCUUCACUCCAUUUGCACAGAGGGGCUUUAUGGAGGGUGCCCAGGACCCAGGACCCAGGCCAUGUGACCUUCAGCAGGUCUUCCCCCCUGUGCUGCCCCGAGACCGGGGUGCUGUCCUCCUCACUUCCUCUGUGGUUUAUUGCUGAUACCAGAAUAACCUGCAUAACCCAUGGAGGAGUCGCAGCAGUUUAAUUAAAGUUCAGAGUCAUGUUCACGGGUCUGUAAUUCCUCACUCCCUUCCUGAGAGGGUCCUGGGAAGCCCAGCUUGGCUGUCUGCCUGCUUUGUGUCUCUGAGCAGGGAGGCUGGCCAGCACCCCCACCUGGCCCCCCAACUCGACCCCCUCUGCUGCAAAAGACCCUGGAUCUUGGCCCCUGGGGUGCUCUGAGCCGAAGCCUGAAGGAAUCAGGCCAGAUGCUAGAGGUGUCACCAGUCUGAUCCUACCUCCAUCUCUGGAGGUCUUGACUGAUCGGCUUCACUGAGCCUUGCGGGUCUGCUUUAAGCCGUGUGGCCCAGUGACGACUCUCUGGGUUAGAGACAGUCUUGUGUCUUUCCUCAGGUCCAUAGAGAACCUUAGGGCUCCCCGUUUUUCUAUAGCCAGGAGCAGAUACAAGCCUUCAGAUCCUCCAGCUCUGAGCUUUGCCAUGGUUGACCCUCGUUCUUGUCUAGAGAGCGCAUCUUUUACAGCUUGGAUUCGUGUUUUUCCUGCCCAGUGCUGUGCGUGCUUGAGCAUUGAAAGACACCUCAAGUACGUGUAGAAAACAUGGGGAUGAUGUCAGGUGUAAAUAACUCGAUCAUCACGGGACCGCUGGACCACUCAGCCUUCGUGGAGUCGAGGAAGCAAACUCUCCCAUUUUUGGUGCUGACGCAGCUUGGGGCUGGGGAGUCCUCUCUUUGGAGAGGCUGAUCCUGGUCUUUGAAAGAAAUCUAUCCCACCAAAAAAACAGAAAAGAAAAAGGAUCCCAAUGGCUUCUUAUUUUUGUCUUAAUUCUGAGCUUCCUUAGGCAUAAUGGGAGAUUCCUGGUAGAUUCAAAAAAGGCAUCAGAAGUUCCAGGUUGAAAUGGUGACCUUUCAUGUGCCCCCGCCUUCUCCCCCCCCCCCGCCAGCACCCUCCCCCAAGACCAAGUUCUUAAUGGCUCUGUUCUCAGUUAAGGAGCCCUGAUGGGCACAGAACACUGGACGGGGGCGGUAGAAGAUGUCUGGGCACGGCCAGCUCAAAAUUAGCCAUUUGCAAGCCGUUCGCGAAGCCAAAAAUGAAUGUUGGUAUCAUCUUUCACUUGUGCGGUUUUUCAAAACUCAGCCACAGGUCUUCCUGGAGCCCUAGCUGGGGUUUGAUUUUCUAGGCUGAGAUGAAGAUGAAAAAGACAUGUGUUUGGUAGGAGGGGGAUUGAGACAUUGACCUGCUUUUAAAUGAUAUGAAGAAACUCUUUCUCCUCCCUCCCCUUCCCCACUUCGGCGCUGGUGCUGACUUUGAAAACCCUUCCUAGGGAGGCUGAGAGGUGGGGUGCUUUCUCGAGCUGCUUUCUGCGGUUGGUUUUUUUUUUUUUUUUUUUUUUUUUUUUUUUAAUACGUCUGGAAAUCUAUCUCAGCUCAGAAUCAUCUGUUGGUUCUCAUCACGGAGGGACAGAGAGGAGGGUGCCUGGUUGGCUUGGCCGGUGGGCCUUUGUGGCCGUCCCUCCUUCUGGCCGAGAGAUAACAGGGUGUUUGAACGUCGGUGUUUAUCGCAAGAGAGCAGCGCGGUCAGAGAGGCGCAGAGGAAAGAGCCGGCGGCCCUUCUCUGAUGGAUGCGGAGCAAACUUUUCUUGUGAAGCACAGGCAGCCCACAAGUUUGUCUUUUUCAAGAGAGGAAGAAACUUAAAGUGAAGCUCCAGAGAGAUAAGUUUUUUUCGGUCCGGUGCUUCAUGGAGGCUUAACGAUUCUAGUAGGGCCCUGAAAAUGGCAGAGACCUCAAUUUCCCCCCUAACAGGCUCCCUAACUAGAGAGGUUUGCAAAGCUUAAGGGGAUUAAUGCUCUUUAAACCUCUGCACUGCUUCCUGCUCCUCAUGGGAUCCGGGUGCUAAUAAAGAUGUACCAGCUUGGAAAGGCUGGUAAAUACUGCUUUGUUGCCACGGCAACAGGCGAAACAAGAAGGACGCUGAGUAUUGCUAACAAGAGUCCUUAUGAUCAAGAGUUUAAGGAGGUUAAAAAAAAAAAAAGGUUCUUAAAAAUGCAGAGAGUCUUGGCGAGGUAAUUAGACUUGGUGCUCUCAAAGUAAAUUUAUAGUUUUACGGAGCAUUACUGGAGUGCCUUGUUGCUUGCAAUGUCACCCUCCAUCAAGUGCCGAAGCAGCAUCGCUGCUAAGAGCCACCAGCAUCUGCUGCCAUUGCUCUGGUGAGGCUGGACCAGCCUGAGACGCCUUCCUGGUUUCUCCCUCUCAGUUAGGCGUCACCACGUGUGUUCCCUCACUCGGAAAGCGUUAAAAAGCUCUGUUUCCUGCCUCCUUGGUGUUGAAGGAUAUGAGCGAACAUUCUCCACCUGCCUUCUGUCUGGGAUGUGCCCAUGGUUAGCAGUGAUGAGAGGUGAAAAGGAACUGGAGCAGAAAUACUCCCUGAGCCCGGGUGCUGGGCUGUGCGUUUUCCUUGCUUUGUCUCGCUGCACCUGCUGACCCCGUGCAGCCUAGCUGUUAUUGUGCCAGUUUUUCAUUAUUUAUUUAUUUAUUUAUUUAUUUAUUUAUUUAUUUAUUUAUCUUUGUGCCUUUUUUAAGGCCGCUCCCUCAGCAUAUGGAGGUUCCCAGGCUAGGGGUCUAAUCAGAGCUGUAACUGCCAAGCCUAUGCCAGAGCCAUAGCAAUGCGGGAUCCAAGCCACGUCUGCAACCUACACCACAGCUCACAGCAACGCCGGAUCCUUAACCCACUGAGCAAGGCCAGGGAUCAAACCCGAAACCUCAUGGUUCCUAGUCGGAUUCAUUAACCACUGAGCCACCAUGGGAACUCCUGUGCCAGUUUUUCAGAUAAAGAGACAGAGGGGUUAAGGAACUCGUCCCUAGGGACAGAGCCAGCCAGGGGGCAGAUCCCAGGAGUGGCUGUCAAGCCUGGGCUUUCAGCCCCUGGACGGUAUCUUUGCAGCCCUCCUUGCAGCCAUCCCUGCCCGCUGCUGAGAACCUCAUUCCUGGGUCCUGAGCAGCUCCUGCAGCCCCUGCUGGCAUCUUCUGCCUGACCCCCUGAGACUUCCCAGGGAAUCCAGGGCUUGCUCUCCUGCUCCUUCCCUCCGGGUAUUUGUACACUGUGUCGAACUCCUUGCAGAGGCUUAGGCUUCUCGUGUGUGUCUUAGGUGAGAAGUACGGCUGGCUGGGGAGGCAGGUGGCUUGCUUGAGAUGGCCAGGCGGCCGCACUGACCCUCUCCUGGGUAACGGUGCCUGGCUGUUCAAGCCAAGCACGAGGCUUUGUCCUGGACUCCGCCUCCUGCACAUCUGGCCAGUCUCUACAUACCCACCUCUGCAUCCGCCAUCCCCUGUGUCUGCCAUCACGCCCUGCUGUCUGCCUCUGUCCCCUGUCUCCCUGGUAUCUGCAGUGACUCUCAGGGGACUCCUGCCUCCAGGCCCACGCCGAUCUGGAUCCAUUCAGAGGGAUCUUUCUGAACUGUGAUUCUGAUGGUGCCAAGUCUGUGGCUUUCCAGCCGAGCACCUCAGUGUGGCCUCCAGGGUGCCAGUUGACCGAGCCUUGUCUGUCACUCCACUCCCUGUCAGCCUGGGCUGUCUGCUUAGUAUGUCCCCUGCAGUUUCUCAAUCACCAGGGGCUCCCUCAGUUUGUGGACACAUUAAUCCCUACCCACCUUUCCUUUGACAAAUUCCAGGGCCCUGCAGGACUCAGCCAGACCCACACCAGUCUUCUCCCCACUCUGCAUCGUCUGCUCACACGGCCCCCCUGCCUCCACCCCCACCCCGGGAACUAUGAGUAGGAGACCGGGUUCUGAUCCUCUUGGGGUCCCUAGUACCUGGGAUGUAAUUGGUACUUGGUACGUGUUUAUUAACUGGAGGGGUGAGAGAGUCUUUCCUCACCAGGUUGCCAUGGCAACAGACUCCACCGCCAUUGGAAGUCAAGGGACUCAGGACCUUGGACAUCCCAAGGUCCCACAACUACCCUGCCUGAGCUCCGCUUAGAGUCCCACACCCCCUGCUGUGACUAUUAAACCCAGGUCUCCGUGGAGCCUGAAGACCAGCCUGAGACGCUUUGCAUCCUUGGUCCUAAUGGGAACACGUGAUCUGAGUUUCGUUGCUUGUAAAAUUCUUUUAGGCUGAUAAAGUCAGGACUGGAUUGGAAUUGAACGUGGGACGUUGUCCAGUCUCCGUCGAGAACGCGAUGGCAAACAUUUGCCAUUUAUCUCCCCCUUCCCCCUUCUUCCCCACAGUAUCAGUUUUCUGAUUGAAUUUGGGAAGCAAUGGCAAUUGAUUAAGUUGCAGUGGAGCUUGCCCUAAAAGGAAAUGAUUGAUAAUCCGUUUAGGUCUGAGUUGCUUGCUUUUCCCCUCCUGAUUUCCUUGGCCACUUUUUCAAUUACCAACUGUAUUUAGCCUGCUUUGCUCGCCGUAGCUCAUUUCCCCUUCCUCCAGAAGCUACAGGGAAGCUGCCAUGUAAUAUUGAAGCAGUGGCAUCUCAUUAUUGCCCUGGGACAGCAGUUAGAAAUGCAAAAAUAGAUCUUCCUUGAGGGGGCAGACGAGGGCUGUGGGGCUGUGAAGCAGAACAGGCUGGUCGCAACACAUCAGCCUCUGGGUACUGGAAGGGAGGGCAUGGCUUCCUGGAACAGCACGGCGUCCUGGCCCACGUGGCCCUCUGGGGGCAAAGGUCAUAUGAUGGAUCUCCCAAGGGACAGGUUGGCUCACUUCCGGGAGGAAAACUCCUCUAGGAUGUGACUCCCCAUGAGUGAUGGUUCCUGCCUUUAUCUUCCGAGCUUCAUAUCUUUAUUGUGUUUUACCACCUACAAGGUUCUUCCACCUGUCCAGUUUCAAUAGCUUGAGAUCCUCCCCCACGGCACUGCUAUAACACAGCUUCUAUGUCAGUCCUCCAGAUGGAUGUCUGGUGCCUACCCCCGAGUUGGUGUUCACAACGUUCAUUGCCAAGGCCACCUUCUAGGGUGGGUAUGUGGGGUGUGUGAUUGGACCCAUGUCACAGGAGAGACUUGUCCACCGUGUCUGGAGUAUAGACCCCACCGUGGGGAUGGCGAGGGUCCCUCAUAGAUAAAAUAGCAUCCCUUGUCCCUGCCUGAGGAGCACCCACAUUGAUAAGCAAGGCAAAGGAAUAGCAAGUGGUCCCUCCCAUCCUGCUCACUAAGGUGAGGGGCAGGCUGCUGGGCCCCUGGGGGACUUCCUGGCUGUGCAUGUUCCGGGGCUGGAGUGGGGGCUUCGGGCCAGUGAGGGUGGGGAGCUUGUGCUCUCAGCUGGAGGCACCCUCCGGAAAGGGAGGAAGUUGGUACCCUAUGUAUCUUUCCCACUUUACUCUGAACUGAGUCAUGUUGCCUCUACCCAGAAUGUCCCCGAAAAAAUCAGGGAGUCCCUCAGGAGCUGGAGGCUUCUCCUAAGACAUCCUGGUGGUAUCCUGGGCCUCUGCCCUCCAGCCCAAUCUCUGUUUCCCUCCCGCCCCUGACUCCGAUGCUCAACGUGUUUGGAAUGAGUUCAGUAAUGCCAGCACCUCCCAGCUCACUUCUGCGUCACAACUAAGUCCCUGUGGAUCCUGUAAGGUCUGGUUUACCAAAGGGGGGCCUUGCCCAGAGGGUAUGAGACUGAGGACAGGCUCCACGGCAUGUGGCUGGUCCCCUGCAGCCCUGGGCAGGGGUGUUCACUCUGCGCCCACCCUUCUGGCAGCAGGUCCCCUAUUGGGGAUGGGGAACAGGGGAGAUCCACAGUGUCUCAGGCAUGCAGAGUCCCUGAUUCCCUGAUGAGAGAGAAGCAGCCCCAAUUUUGGUCAGAGUUAAUGGGCUGAAACAGCAGAGCAAUAUUCCUCUUUUCCUGGAAUAUUUCUUCUAAACGUUCAGGUCCAUAACCAGCGCAGCUAAGUCAGCGGAUUGUCAGCGUUCCAGAAAGUGCCGUCUCCCUCGGUGCUGAACUGCCCCCGGAACUGCAAUCGCCUUAGCCCUCCCACACCGCACACCCGUUUGGUGUUCAGGACAUGUUAUUUUAAGGAGCGUGAGGGGAGAGGCGUUUCUCCUAAUAACCCCCCUCCCGUUCUCCCAGAGGGCUCAGGGAUGGAGCUUGCCUGCUGGCUGGCUUGGGGCGCUGACAAAAUAUUUAAGUAAAGGCUCUGGGGAAAAGGACAUACUUAGAUUAUGAAGGAAAACUCCCCACAGUGAUGGCCUUGGCAUAUUAGGCGCCUCUAUAAUUUCACCUCUUCAGCGCCUGUUUCCAGUUACCACACAGCCAUCCGAGGGAAGACAGUGCACUAAAAACGGCCCCACAACAAUCUUUUUGUAAAGACAGUCAACGAUCGAAGCUAUUAAUUGUGUUUCUGACCAAGAGCAACGAUGGUGGGGUUCCCCCUUGGGCUGUGCUUUUGGGCCCUGGUCCUGGAGUGAGAGGGUGGGGGUGGGGGUGUCUGCCCCCCCCCCACUGCAGAGGACUUUGGUUUCUAGGAGACCCCAGCAUCCAGGUGAGACUCAGCCUAUCAAGCUCAAGUGGAGGCAAGGCCCUCACUGGCUGGAGCUGCUUCCUCGCCCUGCUUUUUGAGACUCGUCUUUCCUGGUGGCACAACAACAAAGCCACCACUCUAAGUCACUUGCCCCAUCCCCAGACCAGCCCUUCUGCCAAUUCUAAACCACUAGACCAGUUCCCAGUGUGACUCAGCAGCUGAAGAACCCAACUCGUAUCCCUGAGGAUGUAGGUUCGAUCCCCAGCCUUGCUCAAUGGGUUAAGGCUGUGAGCUGUGGUGUAGGUUGCAGACGAGGCUCGGAUCCCAAGUUGCUGUGGCUGUGCAGCUCUUAUUCAGCCCCUAGCCUGGGAACUUCCAUAUGCCC